This 301-nucleotide ribosomal RNA is filed under the name uncultured bacterium. Its description in RNAcentral is "partial 16S ribosomal RNA". It matches the Rfam family "Bacterial small subunit ribosomal RNA", at positions 509 to 807 of the family's 1533-position model. The record is from RNAcentral.
CAGCCGCCGCGGGAAAACGGAGGGGGCUAGCGUUGUUCGGAAUUACUGGGCGUAAAGCGCACGUAGGCGGUUUGUCGCGUCGAAUGUGAAAACCCGGGGCUCAACCCCGGGCUUGCAUUCGAUACGGGCAGACUAGAGUUCGGUAGGGGAGUCUGGAAUUCCUGGUGUAGCGGUGAAAUGCGCAGAUAUCAGGAGGAACACCGGUGGCGAAGGCGGGACUCUGGGCCGAUACUGACGCUGAGGAGCGAAAGCGUGGGGAGCAAACAGGAUUAGAUACCCCCGUAGUCCCUGUCUCUUAUAC